GACGAACGCUGGCGGCGUGCCUAACACAUGCAAGUCGAACGGGUGAGGGGAGCUUGCUCCUCGAUCUAGUGGCGAACGGGUGAGUAACGCGUGAGAAACCUGCCUUUCAGUGGGGGACAACAGUUGGAAACGACUGCUAAUACCGCAUAAUGUGCCGGGAGGGCAUCCUCCUGGUACCAAAGCUUUAUGUGCUGAAAGAUGGUCUCGCGUCUGAUUAGCUAGAUGGCGGGGUAACGGCCCACCAUGGCGACGAUCAGUAGCCGGUCUGAGAGGAUGAACGGCCACAUUGGGACUGAGAUACGGCCCAG
RNAcentral lists this ribosomal RNA (308 nucleotides) under uncultured bacterium. RNAcentral's name for it is "bacterial SSU rRNA". It matches the Rfam family "Bacterial small subunit ribosomal RNA", at positions 28 to 334 of the family's 1533-position model. The record is from RNAcentral.